RNAcentral lists this ribosomal RNA (878 nucleotides) under Bacteroidales bacterium. RNAcentral describes it as "partial 23S ribosomal RNA". It matches the Rfam family "Bacterial large subunit ribosomal RNA", at positions 1 to 850 of the family's 2925-position model. Lineage: Bacteria; Pseudomonadati; Bacteroidota; Bacteroidia; Bacteroidales. The record is from RNAcentral.
GAUUAAGGUACUAAGGGUGUAUGGUGGAUGCCUUGGUACAGAGAGGCGAUGAAGGGCGUGGCGAACUGCGAUAAGCCUCGGGGAGCCGUAAGCAGGCUUUGAUCCGGGGAUACCCGAAUGGGGCAACCCGUGCCGAUUCAUAUUGGCACAUCCCGAAAGGGAGGCGAACCUGGGGAAGUGAACCAUCUCAGUACCCAGAGGAAUAGAAAUCAACCGAGAUUUCCCUAGUAGCGGCGAGCGAACGGGAAACAGCCUAAACCAUAAAGAUGCCAAGGGCAGGCCCGUUGUCUUUGUGGUGUUGUGGGAGCCGAUUGGAGGUAGCCUGAUGCCUCCGAAGAGUUACAAAAAGUCUUUUUAGCCAAACAGCCUUGAAUGGCUGACCAUAGAAGGUGGAAGUCCUGUAGGUGAAAAGAUGACUUCUCUUUUCGGAAUUCCCAAGUAGCGCGGGGCACGAGAAACCCUGUGUGAAUCCGGGUGGACCAUCAUCCAAGGCUAAAUACUAUUCUGUAACCGAUAGUGAACCAGUACCGCGAGGGAAAGGUGAAAAGUACCCCUGUCAGGGGCGUGAAAUAGAACCUGAAACCAUAUACCUACAAGCAGUCGAAGUCCCCGCAAGGGGAUGACGGCGUGCCUUUUGUAAAAUGAGCCGGCUAGUUAUUUUCAGUGGCAAGGUUAAGUCGUAGAGACGGAGCCGAAGCGAAAGCGAGUCUGAAUAGGGCGAUUGAGUCACUGGGAAUAGACGCGAAGCGGAAGUGAGCUAUCCUUGGCCAGGGUGAAGUAUGGGUAACACCAUACGGAGGCCCGCACCAAUAUGGGUUGAAAACCGUUUGGAUGAGCUGAGGAUAGGGGUGAAAGGCCAACCAAACGCCGUGAUAGCU